This 924-nucleotide ribosomal RNA is filed under the name Triticum aestivum (bread wheat). RNAcentral describes it as "partial small subunit ribosomal RNA". Lineage: Eukaryota; Viridiplantae; Streptophyta; Magnoliopsida; Poales; Poaceae. The record is from RNAcentral.
AUGCAGGUCUGGGAGAUACAGGUUGGAGGCCAGCGCCUCGGCGGCGGACGUGAAGAAAUAGUACCCUGGGACGCCGAGCUCCGCGGCGACGUCGAGCACGAUGCUGCAGAAGAAGUCGACGAUGAGGACGGCCGAGGAGGCGCCGGCGAGGAAGCCACGGAGGUGUGGGAUGGAGAGGCCGGCGACCUCGUAGGUGAUCGCCUCGGGGAGGUCGGAGUCGAGCGGCGGGACCUUGACCUGCGGGAGGCAGUGGAAGGAGAUGGAGGGGUUGGCAGCGGGGGUCGCGUUCCUCAUGCAUGGUGGUGGUGUGUGUGGCGGCGGCAGAGUCCGUGUAUAGAGUGGUACACACGCCGUCGAAAACGUGGCCUUUGCUCCGGCCACGCCCACCUACGCCGUCUUGCCUCGUCGGCUUUGAGCGGCGUCGAUGUGGUUGUUGAUGUAGCAUGCAUGUUUGGGCUUGGCUUGGACGUCGUCGAUGACUUCGUAGGUUUGCCAGAUGUGCGAGGGGUAUGCCUUGUGGGAGUAGAGGAGGAAGAGGAAUGGAUGGACGUGCGACACAUGGUGUGCACACAUCCGUCGAUGACCGCAUACACCGCCGCCAAUAGCGGAGGAAGUCGCCACCUUGCACCGCUCGGCAUGUGUGACACGUGUUCGUGCCGACGAAGAGGGAGGCCGCAAGAUACGCCUAAGCGUGUCCCGGCCGCAGCCGGAUGUUGUCUCCGCCGCCAUAGCUACAACGAGUCAUCGUUGCUCGUCGAGUGCCGUACCGCCUCCAGGGUUACGACGAGUCGUCGUGACUCAUCGAGCGUUGCGCCGCCGCCGACGCGUCGAACGGACCAUGGCGCCUCCAUGGACUGGCAAGAGAGCGGCGAAGGAAACCUCGCGAUGCGGCGAAGCCUCGCCCAGGCGCCGCCGAUGGUGUAG